This is a non-coding RNA of Dipodomys ordii (Ord's kangaroo rat), 70 nucleotides long. NCBI's taxonomy places the organism in Eukaryota, Metazoa, Chordata, Mammalia, Rodentia, Heteromyidae. The record is from Rfam.
GGGAAGGUGGCUCAGUGGUAGAGCGCUUGCCUUGCAUGCAUGAAGCCCUGGGUUCGAUUCCUCAGCGCCA